AUGAGCACCGCAACCCCAGAGUCAUCAGUGACUGGACCUAUCGGUCAGGGGUCCCUUUACAUUUACCUUUAAGGCUAGAAGAUGCAUGAGGAAAGAAGACGUUCAUGGAUGAUAAAGCAGAAAUCCAAAGCUUAUUUUUUUACAAAGUGGCAAUAACACGAAUGGGUAUAUAUGCUGCCAGUAACUGCAUAUGAAUACAGACUGUUCUGUUAAUGGAGUUUUGUGAGCCACAUUAAAUUGAUCCACAAACUGGGUAUCCACUUUAUCCAGGUAUUAUUAAUACAUUGGAUACUCUGGAGUCUCCUGGGGCAAAACAGGAGUAAAGCCUAUGGUGACUUGCCCAAGCAAAUAAUGCCCUUAGUUGUCCCUUUAUUUCAAUCCAGGACACAGCCCAAAGAAAGCUAAAAUACUGAAAAACAGCUUAACCUGUAGACAACCCACAUUUUAUAAAGGUAAAGGUACCCCUGCCCAUACGGGCCAGUCUUGACAGACUGUAGGGUUGUGCGCCCAUCUCACUCAAGAGGCCGGGGGCCAGCGCUGUCCGGAGACACUUCCGGGCCACGUGGCCAGCGUGACAUCGCUGCUCUGGCGAGCCAGAGCCGCACAUUUUAUAACAGUCCCCUAUUAGCCAAGGGUCAUACAAUACAGGGAAAACAAAUAUUUAUCUAAGAAUAUAGGACCAGAGCUUUCAUGGUAACCUUUCCUGUGCCCAAAUCUCCCCUGCAAAUCCCUGCAUGGCUAUUGUGUUAUAUGUGGGGUGGGAUAGAGUACUUUUGUUGCCAUGAUUGGAAAGAAACCAAGCUGCAGCAAAAAACUACCUAGGAUAAUUUGGGGGAGGUGCUGGAAGGCUUAAGUUUCUCCUGCCUUUCAGUCAGUCCCCUUCAGAUGUCCCCCUGCUCCUCCAUUCAUAUUAAAUGCAGACAAGUUGAGAAAGCACAUUUUUUUCAGUGUAACAUGUAGUUCUGCCCUAUGAGAGAGGAAACUUUGCUUUGUUUGGCUUGUGUGAAAUUUGAUUUUGUUAAAAAUAUUUCCAAAUAAAGAUUCCAGAUGUUUAUUUUCAUUAAUAGUACAGUGGUAUCUUGGUUCUCGAAUUCAAUCCAUUCUAGAAGUCCGUUCAAGAUGUGGCUUAUGAUUGGCUGAUUGGCCCCGGAAACAAUGCCGACAGCCAAAACAAGACGUCCGGCUUCCGGAAAAUGUUCACAAACUGGAACACUUACUUCUGGGUUUGCUGCGUUCGGGAGCUGAUUUGUUCGUCAACUAAGCCGUUUGGGAACCAAGGUACUACUGUAGAUAGCUUGCUUUGCAACGGAAACUCCUAGUACCAAAAAAUAAAAAAUAACACUCACCAAAAGAGUUAGAGCUUGAACUACUGUUGUGCAGUUUACUUUUAGUGCUUUCCACUGCAUGUAAUGUGCAUUUAAAUUGCUUGGGUCUCCUCACUUUGACCACAAUUACAACUGUCCUUGCUAGUAUGUUUCCAGAAAGCCUUUGUGAGGCCAUUAGCUUCAGAUUACAUUUCAGUUAAAGAAGCAAAAGGCAGAGAGAUUUUUACUUAAACAUUCCCAGAGAAUUUCCUCCCAUAAAAGGUCUGCACUUAUAAAUUUGCCUAACACAGCCUGAAGAUUGACAUUAAACAGGAGUAGUUAGUUAGACUUUCAAACCACAUAUUUUGGGCUGUAUUCAACAAACUCAUUGUGCUAGCAGAAGCCAGUACAAUUUUCACUUUCCCCUCAAUCUCCCUCCCAAAUCUGUUGCAAAGGGUUGGGAGAAUCCCCAGAAAUAGCAUUGGGCGGGUGGGAAGAGGAUCGGGGACAUUGUUUCAAGCAGACAUCCUUGCUUGAAACAAUAAUCUUACUGCUAUACUGAAUACAGGUCUCUGUCUCCACUUGUGCACUGUGCAUGAAUACCAAGGGAAAACCUCACUUUUCUGCUGUGUUUUGCAUUCCUCUGUAGUAAUUUAUAAUUGAUAUUGGCCUGGUUUGCACAUAAUGGUAAGCCAUUAUUUGUUUAACGAAAGUGUGGAUUUUUUGAACACCUAAUCCCAGCACAACAGAUUAACAGGCGAAUGUGAAGCCAUUGGUAUGUUGUUGCUUUAUGAACCAUGGCUUAUUUUUAAUUUUUAAAAAGUAGCCAGGAUUUGAUGUUAUGUUCAAACCCAACACCUUUGUUUAGCCAUGGCAACCCCACCACUAGAUGCUUGUCAAGCUACAGAGGCAUGAGUCAAGAGCAGAUGGAAAAGAAACCAAGCUUUGGAGAAACAAAUCCUGCAUUGCAGGGGGUUGUAUUGGAUUGGGGAGCCUUCCAACUCUACAAUUCUAUGAAUUCAUGGCUAGUUUGCUUAUCUGUGAGAUGACUCAACAAUUCCAUGGCAUUCCUCAGUACCAUGAAAAAAUAUACAAUGUAGACACCACUGCAGAAAUCACUUAGAAGUUACCUGCACAUGUUGUCCCAUAACUUUCUUUCUAGGAAGGCUGGAGACCGUAGUAGUAGUAAAGCAGCUCAGAGUCUGGGACACCUGCCCAGGUGUGCCACUAGAAGCCUUCAUAGGUACAAUGGCACCUUCGGGCACCAGAUUGACAACACUUGGUCUACUGAGAGGGCUCACGAUUGAAAUAUGUGGUUUCUAGGAUGCAUGUCUCAGUUUCCUUAAAGAACUCUCUGAGAAUGACUCAGCUUUCCUUGCCAAGGCAUGAGGAUAACUUAGACUAGGGAGAAGAUGUCUUCCUCCUUGGAAAGUGCUGUUAUUCCACCUCUGCUGUCCCACAGGCAGGACCUUUCCCUGAGCUGAAUGUCUUCCUGCCUUCAAAGGGAGAAAAAACUCUUAACAAGAUAAAGAGGCACAGCUAAAGCAGCAACAUGGUUGGCACAAAAUCAUCUCUCACUGUAUUAUUUCAAACCUUUAACAAUCUCAAGUUUUCCAUAACAAGUGAAACCAUUAUACUACAGAGCUGGCAUGUUAUAAAAUAAAUCAUUCUACCCCAAACAUUUUUUUAAUUAAAAAACAACCCUUUAACAUUAGUUUUUCUAACAGGAUUUCUUUUGAGCGGCAAAUUUUGUAAUAUGAUCCACCAUUCCUCCACUUCAGCAAAAAUUAACAACAUUUUCUAAUAAAUAUUUCCUCCCUCAGCAUGGGGAAACAGGAAGCUA
Non-coding RNA from Podarcis muralis (Common wall lizard), 3147 nucleotides. The record is from RefSeq and is a predicted model, not a curated record. NCBI's taxonomy places the organism in Eukaryota, Metazoa, Chordata, Lepidosauria, Squamata, Lacertidae.